This is a long non-coding RNA of Phyllostomus hastatus (greater spear-nosed bat), 504 nucleotides long. RefSeq lists it as uncharacterized. Lineage: Eukaryota; Metazoa; Chordata; Mammalia; Chiroptera; Phyllostomidae. The transcript is spliced from 3 exons. The record is from RefSeq and is a predicted model, not a curated record.
GCGGAGGCGGAGCAGAGGAGGUCUGAAGCUGAGCAGCAACAGGAUGAAGGGGGCGAACAGAGGAGAGAACGGCAGACAGACAAGGCAGUAGAGAGAGUGCGAGCGUGCCAUUAAGAAAAUGCUUGGAGAACCCAAGGCUCCCUGGCCAUGCUGAAGUUCUUCACCUCCCGCAGCUAUCACAGCACAGGUGCCGUGAGAGCCCAGCCCAGAGCCCGACACCCGGCUGUGGAGGCCCAGCGCCGGUGAGCUCUCAACCCCGCCAGGCCUGGGGCAGAAGGCAGAGGAGGAGGAGCACUCUGAGACGCGGUAUGCAGGGAGAGGAGGACUCUUAUCCACACCUCACGGACAGGCACACCGCCUCGCGGCUGUCUAGGGGCAGAGCCAGCAUUGUGGCUGAAAGCCUGGCCCCCGCCGCCUGGCCCUCUCCUGUGUCCUGCUCCUCGUCCCUCUGGGACCCGAGACAGGUACACACUCCGCCACCCCUCGCCCCACGGAGGCCUGCAG